AAGGCUUAUAAACCUAAUCCCUUCCCCUCCGUGAACCUCUCCACCCGAUCCUUUCUCCUCCUCCUUCGACGUUUCUCCCCUUCCCCUUCUCUAUGUUGUCGCCGGCUUUCACAGGCCGUCGCCCGUCGCCGGGUACCAUGAGAGCCCUCCUCUUCCUCUUCCUCUCCCUCUUGCACCGACUCUUCCCUUCUCUCGAUUCCUCUCCAUCACUCUUCUCUGCCGACAUAAACAACUCGCGGAGCAUCCCUAGCCCUUCCUCUUCCCUGAUCUUGCGCCACCCACUUCCGAGCGACCCCCUCGUGUUGCCGUCGAUUGGUGCCACUCAACCGUUGCCGACCAUUUGCUUGAGACUCACUGACAAUGCUGCAGCCGUCGAAGGAGGCGAUGUUGUCGGCUUGAGCGAGGAUCCCGAUUCCUCUUCAUCACGAUCUUCUUCGCGGUCUGAUCGUACCGGUGCCACCUGAUCGCGCUCCCAUCACUGGAUCCAGUCGUUGGCCAUGUGAGAGUCUCCCAUCGCUUCCCCAUCUCUGCUCUGAUCGACUCCGUUGUUUGUUGCCUCUAGCUGAUCACCGUUGGCGACACCAUCUGUUCACCACUAGCAUUCUGUUGAUGGGAAUUCACUACCGCCUACUACUAGAGAAGAAGGAAGUCAAUUGGUAGCUUCACCUAGCAUCAGCCACCAAUCUGGCAGAAAGGUCUUCGGCUGUGUGUUCACAAGGAGCAACCAGAUUAAGGACGUUGAUUCAAGACGAGCAUCUCGAAAUGAGAUUUGUUCCGAUACAAUCGACAGAUAAAGGCGGUACCUUUGACUUAUCUCUUUUGAUAUUAUCAUUCUUAUUGGCGUAGCGGGGUCGACAAGAGGGGGAUGAAUUGUCUGCAAAAUAAAAGUAUACCCUCCUCAAUUCUUUCAACUCAAACAGUGAAAUAGUAAUAAAGUAAACUAACAGAAAUAAAGAAAAAGA
Zingiber officinale is the source of this 962-nucleotide long non-coding RNA. RefSeq lists it as uncharacterized. The record is from RefSeq and is a predicted model, not a curated record. The transcript has 3 exons. NCBI's taxonomy places the organism in Eukaryota, Viridiplantae, Streptophyta, Magnoliopsida, Zingiberales, Zingiberaceae.